UUGGAUAAGGGGAAGAGACGCCAGGAAG
Molecule: non-coding RNA, 28 nt
Filed under: Macaca fascicularis (crab-eating macaque)
Lineage: Eukaryota; Metazoa; Chordata; Mammalia; Primates; Cercopithecidae
Also listed under: 1 other name
Source: RNAcentral